AACGUAGGAGCCAAGCGUUAUCCGAAUUCACUGGGCGUAAAGCGCGUGCAGGCGGCUGGGUAAGUUGGAUGUGAAAUCUCCUGGCUCAACUGGGAGAGGCCGUUCAAUACUACCUGGCUUGAGGGCGACAGAGGGAGGUGGAAUUCCGGGUGUAGUGGUGGAAUGCGUAGAGAUCCGGAAGAACACCGGUGGCGAAGGCGGUUAGCUGGGCAGUUGCUGACACUGAGGCGCGACAGCGUGGGGAGCAAACGGG
Molecule: ribosomal RNA, 253 nt
Filed under: uncultured bacterium
Lineage: Bacteria
Description: partial 16S ribosomal RNA
Rfam family: Bacterial small subunit ribosomal RNA
Source: RNAcentral